CCUACGGGAGGCAGCAGUCGAGAAUCUUCGGCAAUGGGCGCAAGCCUGACCGAGCGACGCCGCGUGUGUGAUGAAGGCCUUCGGGUUGUAAACCACUGUCGGAGGGGAGGAAAUACAUAUGGGUUCUCUCAUAUGCUUGACCUAUCCUCGGAGGAAGGACCGGCUAAGUUUAUGCC
Molecule: ribosomal RNA, 176 nt
Filed under: uncultured bacterium WkA04
Lineage: Bacteria
Description: partial 16S ribosomal RNA
Rfam family: Bacterial small subunit ribosomal RNA
Source: RNAcentral